This 328-nucleotide ribosomal RNA is filed under the name Collinsella sp. HGA0066. Its description in RNAcentral is "bacterial SSU rRNA". It matches the Rfam family "Bacterial small subunit ribosomal RNA", at positions 112 to 441 of the family's 1533-position model. The record is from RNAcentral. Lineage: Bacteria; Bacillati; Actinomycetota; Coriobacteriia; Coriobacteriales; Coriobacteriaceae.
AACACGUGGAGAACCUGCCCCCUCCCCCGGGAUAGCCGCCCGAAAGGACGGGUAAUACCGGAUACCCCGGGGUGCCGCAUGGCACCCCGGCUAAAGCCCCGACGGGAGGGGAUGGCUCCGCGGCCCAUCAGGUAGACGGCGGGGUGACGGCCCACCGUGCCGACAACGGGUAGCCGGGUUGAGAGACCGACCGGCCAGAUUGGGACUGAGACACGGCCCAGACUCCUACGGGAGGCAGCAGUGGGGAAUCUUGCGCAAUGGGGGGAACCCUGACGCAGCGACGCCGCGUGCGGGACGGAGGCCUUCGGGUCGUAAACCGCUUUCAGCA